RNAcentral lists this ribosomal RNA (648 nucleotides) under uncultured Hyphomicrobiales bacterium. RNAcentral's name for it is "bacterial SSU rRNA". It matches the Rfam family "Bacterial small subunit ribosomal RNA", at positions 20 to 716 of the family's 1533-position model. Lineage: Bacteria; Pseudomonadati; Pseudomonadota; Alphaproteobacteria; Hyphomicrobiales. The record is from RNAcentral.
UGGCUCAGAACGAACGCUGGCGGCAGGCUUAACACAUGCAAGUCGAGCGCGUAGCAAUACGAGCGGCGAACGGGUGAGUAACGCGUGGGAAUCUAUCCAGAACUAUGGGAUAACACAGAGAAAUUUGUGCUAAUACCAUAUACGCCCUACGGGGGAAAGAUUUAUUGGUUCUGGAUGAGCCCGCGUUGGAUUAGCUGGUUGGUAGGGUAAUGGCCUACCAAGGCGACGAUCCAUAGCUGGUCUGAUAGGACGAUCAGCCACACUGGGACUGAGACACGGCCCAGACUCCUACGGGAGGCAGCAGUGGGGAAUAUUGGACAAUGGGCGCAAGCCUGAUCCAGUCAUGCCGCGUGAGUGAUGAAGGCCUUAGGGUUGUAAAGCUCUUUCACCGGUGAAGAUAAUGACGGUAACCGGAGAAGAAGCCCCGGCUAACUUCGUGCCAGCAGCCGCGGUAAUACGAAGGGGGCUAGCGUUGUUCGGAUUUACUGGGCAUAAAGCGCACGUAGGCGGAUAUUUAAGUCAGAGGUGAAAUCCCAGGGCUCAACCUUGGAAUUGCCUUUGANACUGGAUAUCUCGAGUGCAGAAGAGGUAAGUGGAAUUCCGAGUGUAGAGGUGAAAUUCGUAGAUAUUCGGAGGAACACCAGUGGC